RNAcentral lists this long non-coding RNA (1063 nucleotides) under Microcebus murinus (gray mouse lemur). Its description in RNAcentral is "lncRNA (ENSMICG00000048642.1)". The record is from RNAcentral. Lineage: Eukaryota; Metazoa; Chordata; Mammalia; Primates; Cheirogaleidae.
GUUAAAGUCUGGAUUGUCCUGUGGGGCUUCCGUGGACAGUUUCCCGAGGAUAUGUGGGAAUAUGGCGGCACCCGCCUUCCGGGAUCAGAAAAUGACCUGUGGUGGAAACGUCUGGGACUGGUCAGCAUGGGAGCCUGUACCAUGACUAGUGUGGAACUGGAACUAACUGUCCAGAGCAUCCAGCCAGGCAAUAGCAGGAUGAACUCGAGAGGAUGGUCAAAAGUCAACUCCAGGAAUGGAGGGAAUGUGGGAUGCUGCUCAGAUGCCUUUUAACUUCUGGUUGAAAAAUGGAUCUGAAGGGCCAGCAAGCCUCCUCAGGGGUGUCUGCGGAAUCUCUCUGGAAACCCGACCUCAUCAACCGUGCUGUGAAGCAAGAGGCAACCCAGGACUUCAGGCUUUUCCUUCUCCUGAGCAACUUUCUGUUCUGGCCAACUCAGACACUGCGCAUGGAGGCUGCCAGGGCUCAGGCCUCAGUACUCAUCAGGACUCUUUACCAUUUGUCAAUGGUGCAGGCUGGAGGGGGCCUGCUAACCGGCAGUGCCAGAGACAUCUCUCUCUUUCUUGGCCUAUGUAAAGUCAUUUCUUUUGUAUGUGGUGAUUUAUUCAUUGAAUUGCGGGUGAAGACAUUUAACAAGGUGACAGAGGGAAUUAACAUGCUAAUUGGAAAUAUGCACUAUUCUAAGAUGUUCCUAUGGUGACUUUGAACCUUUAGUCUGAAUGGGUCCUUGUGGGUCCUGUAGUUUUCUAUUGGCACACGUUUCGUGGAGAAGGUGGCAUCACACAACCUGAAGUUCACUCACCUUAGGUUAAAUUCCACAUUUGUUUGGGAAGAGAUCCUAAAGUGUCUAUCUUUUACUCAGUACGUGGUCAUUCAUAACCUUUUGAUUUGUCACUGCCAUUGGUUAACUUACUUUUAAUCCUUGGAAGAUGAGAGUCAUUUUUAUUUUCCUCCCAAUGUAAAAUUGAGGCGUGAGAUCCAUGGAAAAGCUUUACCGCAACCCAUGUAAGGAUGGCUUAUUUCUUAGUCAAAAGCCCUUGUGAAACUUGAGGUAACUGUGAUGCU